Molecule: long non-coding RNA, 1183 nt
Filed under: Fukomys damarensis (Damara mole-rat)
Lineage: Eukaryota; Metazoa; Chordata; Mammalia; Rodentia; Bathyergidae
Description: lncRNA (ENSFDAG00000031797.1)
Source: RNAcentral
AGGGUCCCGCAUCGUCACCCUCGUGCUGCGCGCCCCAGGGCACGCGCCCCAAAGCCCUGGCCAGCUGGCUCUUUGGGCACCUGGGGAAGGCGGCAGGGAAGCCUUCCCGCCUCACGAUUGCUGCGCUCCGACUCCCGCCAUCUAAGAUGGCGGCCCCAGCGUCCGCGAAGAAGACGCUCUCAGCGGCCCACCAGCGAGUGCUCUACUCGGCGCUCCUCCUCCCGGCCUGCGGCGCCCGCUCUCCCUUUCUGAGCGAGCUCUACCCGCGAUCAGUCGGCUCUCGGCAAGGGAAUCUGAGUGCCACAUCUGAAGUCUUGUUACCCUGUGUGGACAGACUCCAUACAAAGGCCUCGCAGAGAGCAAGGGGAAGCCCGAAACUACUUGGAGAGACAGAGUUUCAGCCUUGCCAGGCUCGCUGUAGCCAACCCCACCAAGCUGCCAGAUGUGACGCGCCAUCUUGGCUGUCCCACACAGAGGACUGUUACCCCAGACGCAGAGGAGAGGUGGCUCCAGAUGACCCUGUCUUUCAACCAGGUCCUGAGAGGUAAUAAAGCAGUGAUAUUUUAAAACCAUUACGUGUGGGAUGGUCUGUUAUGCAACAGUAAGUAAUCAAGAUACCACUGGCUAAACGUAACCAGAAACUAAUGACCAAGGAAGCCCUCUAAGGUGGUAUGAUCAACUUCUGGAUGCAGAGUGGAAUGGAGAAGGGUGGGAGUGACCUGGAGGGAAAACUGAGGCCAACAUGCUGAUCCUAGUGGCUUGGAGGAUGGGAGAGGGCUCCUGGGUUUGUGAUGUUCGGAUUUUGAGACUUUAUCAAAGCAGGAAGUGCUGGAUGAUGUCAACUUUGGAGGAGAAGCACAAUUUCCUUGUUGGAUACUCCAAGGCUGAGAAGACCUGGGAUGUCCAUGUGGAACUGUCACAGGAGAAGUGGGUCAGGGGACACAGGUGGCCAUGGUAGCUGAAGGGGAGGGAGCUUGCCCAGAUUGAGGCGAGCAGGGCACUGAGGACUGAGCCCAGAGGAGCCCCAGCACCUUAUACUCCAGUCCUCUGAGACUCAGAGAAGAGACAUCAGAGAGGUGGAGAGAGGCCAGAAAUACACGGUGCCAGAAGGAAGAGCAGGUGAUGUCUCUCAAGGCAGAGGAGGAUGGACAGGUUCACCACAGAGGUGGCCCUUGGGCAGCCA